RNAcentral lists this ribosomal RNA (254 nucleotides) under uncultured bacterium. RNAcentral's name for it is "partial 16S ribosomal RNA". It matches the Rfam family "Bacterial small subunit ribosomal RNA", at positions 524 to 776 of the family's 1533-position model. The record is from RNAcentral.
UACGUAGGGGGCAAGCGUUGUCCGGAUUUACUGGGCGUAAAGAGCGCGUAGGCGGAACGUUAAGUCCGAUCUGAAAGCCCCCGGCUCAACCGGGGAGGGUGGUUGGAAACUGGCGUUCUUGAGGGCGAUAGAGGAAGGUGGAAUUCCUGGUGUAGCGGUGAAAUGCGUAGAGAUCAGGAGGAACACCAGUGGCGAAGGCGGCCUUCUGGGUCGACCCUGACGCUGAUAGCGCGAAAGCCAGGGGAGCAAACGGG